GAACUGAAACCUCACGUUAAAACAAUAUCAGCCGUUCCCCUUCAUCAUCCUAAAAACAAGUUACUUCGGUGCUGAAACAAAUAUCAAGUGAAAAUUCUUCCCUCCCAAACUCAUCAAAACCUGCAUCUUAUGAUUUUUCAGAAUCUGAAACAAAGAUUGUCCGGUGUAUCUUCUACCAAAUCCCUAUCCUAACCCUUUCUUCUCAAACCCUUCAACUUGCAACUCAAAAUUAGGAUUUUAGGGUUUCAUGGAAUCAUCUCAAUCAAAGCUUUGAAGUAAGUCUCUCGACGACGGCAUUGAUUCCCCUAUGAGCUACAAGGGUCAUAUCACGUUGUGAACGAAAACUCUAAUAUAAAGGAUUUUUCACUUCAAGCUGUGUAUGAUUCGUCGUCGCCCCGGUAAGAGUUUCCUUUAACUUUCUUACAAUCUACCCCUAUGAGCUACAAGGGUCAUAUCACGUUGUGAACGAAAACUCUAAUAUAAAGGAUUUUUCACUUCAAGCUGUGUAUGAUUCGUCGUCGCCCCGGUAAGAGUUUCCUUUAACUUUCUUACAAUCUGUCCUUUAAAUUUCAUUCAGGAUUGUUAUUCACUUUUAAAAUGGGUUAUUUUAUUCUAGUUUAUGAAUUCACUAUUGAUUGUGAUCUUUAGAACUUUAUCUUCCCAUGUGAGUUUCAUGUUAGGAUUAGCAACACUGCCACAAUUUCUCCCCAAAAUGGGCACUUGAACGUAAAAGCGGUGUUACAGUUAGUGUAAUAUCCAUCAUCCUCAAAGAGACACAUUGAAAUAUUGAUUAUGAAUGCAUUAAUCACAUCCUUAUUUAAUCAUUUUAAUUUGUUAUUGUCAUGUUUCAUGACACGAAUCUGCAGGAUCCUCCAAGCCAAUUACUGCAGCAGAUGUCCAUCAGUUUUUCGAUGACAUAAAGAAUAAGUGUCGCGGUAUAAAGUGAGUUAAUGUUGUUUUGGUAGUUUAAAGGUGUGGUUGCUGUUGAGUUUAUUUGUGUAAUAUGAUGUUCAUAAAUGUAUUAUCAUACUUGUAUGAACUCUUUGACUCUGUUUGUGCUUCAGCUCUUAUAAAGCUAACCUAAUGACUUCUUAAUAUUGAAACUCAUACUAAGCCCAUCCCCUCACAGUAGUUUUUUUUUGUGAUAUUUGUCUCUUACGAACUUAAAGUGUUCUUUUGAUGAGAAACUAUCUUAAACCAUUUUUUUUAUAUAACAUACCAUAUCCUAACCAUUUUUUUCCAUGUAAAAAUAUAAACUAACAAGUGCAUAUGAACAUAGUUAUAAAAAAAAAUUGUAGCCUGAUCAAUCAAGGGCCAGCCUGUUACCGACAGAUUGCACUAUGCCACUGAGGCUGCCAUAGUGAAUGACAAACUAGGUGUAAAUAUCUUGACAAUAGACACUAAAAGUCUACAAACUAUACCAAUUCAAACUUCAAUCUGGGAGGGAUAUGCCACUAAAAACAUUUAGAUAAAUUAAUGAACAUAGUUAUAGAUAGUAGGUGAAUAAAAACAUUUAGAUAAAUUAAUGAAUAAUAGUUAUAGACAGUAGUUGAAUGGUUGAGAUCUUAACACCAAUGGGAUUUUCAUGUCAAGGAGUGUGUCAGAAAAAUUUAAUAAAGUUCAUCACAUGUACGAGACAUGAUAUUAAAUCCCAUGUCAUGAGCUUUGCCCAUGUCAAAUUCACAUAUCUUGUGAGAAUAAUUUUAUUUAUCUUUUAACCAAACACUAACUUACUCAUUUUCCCAGAAAAUUAUAGAAUUAGGCUAGUUCAGUCCCAGUACGAACAAUAUACCAUUGUUCAACCACUUGAGUAUUUAAAACAUUGUGAUUAGAACAAAAAAAUGAAGAUAGAUGCUUCAAAGCUAUCAUUGUUGUUCUUGCUGGUUCGUCAUAUGUAUGCCUUUAUAUGUUUUUCAGUUUGCGCAAUAUUGUAUGUACUGUACGCAGGGUGCUGUGUCAUGAUGCAGUUAUCAUUGCAACAAUCGUGUGCAUAUUGUGUUGUUAUUCUUGUUUGUCAUGUGAUGUGAUGUGAUGUAUGCAUGAUGUCUAUGUGGUUGCAAUGUGUGUGUGUAUGUUCGAGUGUGGCUCUGUGUGUGAUGUUGCAGUUGUUCACACUCUAACUCUUGUGUGUGAUAUGUGUGCGUGUGCUCUCUAUUACUAUUAUGUGUAUGCUUUCAUGUGGUUUGAAAUUGUGAUCCCUUAUACUGUAUAAUGCAGUUCACAACUCAAUAUUAAUUUAUUAAUUGCAAUAUGCUUUAAUCAUUUGGAAUCUAAAUGAUUUCUUGUAUAUGUCUCAUAAUUAAACUUCAAACAUUUGAGAUGAGAAUAGUUUUGAUACACUAGAUCAUUAUUGUAGCUCACAUCAAAUAUAUUAAUUGUUGUGGCAUAAAUUACAAAGGAAUUGUGGACAGUGGUACGUGGUACAAUUGGAAACCUGUUUCCAGUGUUUAAAAACUAUUUCAUUCAACGUUAAUGUUGAGGAAGACAAAAUGCUACUACAUCCUUGGAAAAUUAGUGUAUUUUUGUGUUUGAAAUUUAGUGUUUGUUUUUCUUUCCGUACAAGUGUAUUUUUGUGUCUUUAUCUAGAAUAUAAUGAUUAGAUCCUAAGAUAGGGAUGAGUUUUAAGUUUAUAAGUAAAGAUACAAACGCGCCAGGUAUCUCUUAUAGUUGCCUAAUUAAUUAAACUAGUUUAGUGAAGCAUCACUGUAAAAUUGAUUGGUUUCUAGUUCAUCUUUGAAUUAUUACCUAAUUAAUUAAACUAGUUUAGUGAAGCAUCACUGUAAAAUUGAUUGGUUUCUAGUUCAUCUUUGAAUUAUUCAUUCUUCUUUGAUGUUUGGUUGUUGAAAUGAAAACUUUUGGAUUAAAGUUAUUAAGUGAAACAUUCAUGUUAGAAUUUAUAUAGUUAUCUAUAAAUAACUAUGAUUGUUAGGUUUUGAGCAUGGCAUUAGCUCAUAAUUAGUCCCUGAUUACUCCUGUAUAUGAUUGUAUUCAAACCAUAAUUGAGAUCUAAUAUGUAGCAUAGCACACAAAUACACAAUGUUAAUCUGUUUCUAUAUAAAACCCAUAGUAUUACAUUUGUUUGUUGCGGCAGUGAUGUGGUCCGGCGCAGCAGCAAUGUGGUCAGGUAUGGUGGUGAUGCAGUUCGGUAUGACAGCGAUGCAGAAAUUCCAUGUGUAUUUUAUUUGAUACGACAAUUGUGGUUCAAUAUGGUUGCAGUGUCAUCCGCAUCCGCAAUAUUGCGGUCUUAUCAUAGAGAACCAUCUUAAACUAAUACAAACUUAUAUAUUAUACUAAUAAAGUAUAUUAGGAAUAAACUAAUACAAACUUAUAUAUUAUACUAAUAAAGUAUAUUAGGAAUAGUAUAAGGUCAUCAUUUUUUAUAUAUUUUGAUAUCUCCCAAUCUUUAUUCGAUGGAGUAACUUAUAUCAGCAGGUGCAGCAUAAACACAAAUUAAUCACCUGGCCCAUAUUCUUUGUUUGAAACUUCUCUCCAUUUAUAAACACAAUCACUAAUGAUAUGCGUUAUGAUGUUUGCUUUGUAUUUGUUUAAUUGAAGAUUUAUGAUUUUUUUUCUUCCAAAAAUACGUAUAAAAAUCAUGAUUGAUUGUAGUUUUGGACGUGAAUAAAGUCUAAGCAAGGUUCACAUGAUGUUACUUUACUGAAUUUUGGAAUAUUGAUUGUAAUUUUGGACUCAUUAAAAUAUGUUUUUAAUUUAUCUAUGUGGUAUCUUUUGUGUCUUUCAUCUUCAUUAAGGGUAUGCAUUUGAAGAAACGUAGUGACACUCUUUAGAAUGAUAGUGGUAGGUAGUGCUACUUACCAUUAAGGGCUACUUACUCAUUAAGGGUAUGCAUGAAACAGAAGAAAACAAACUUUUUCAAAUCGUGUCGCUACUUACCACGUCCAUGAAUUUGGGAAUUUGGAAAUUGUAUUAUUGCGCAGAUUAAUUCAUAUUAUAUAUAGGUUAGAGUGAGAUAUUUAAUCAAAUCAUAGCAGUUACAUAUUUUGAGAUAUUUAAUAUUUGUAUUAGUUAUUAAAAUAUUAUUUCCAUUUUAAAGGAAUUAUAUAUAUCAAUGAAGAUUUAUAUA
This 4084-nucleotide long non-coding RNA is filed under the name Lathyrus oleraceus (garden pea). RNAcentral describes it as "Pisum sativum (pea) long non-coding RNA (PSAT_LNC037860)". Lineage: Eukaryota; Viridiplantae; Streptophyta; Magnoliopsida; Fabales; Fabaceae. The record is from RNAcentral.